This 254-nucleotide ribosomal RNA is filed under the name uncultured bacterium. RNAcentral's name for it is "partial 16S ribosomal RNA". It matches the Rfam family "Bacterial small subunit ribosomal RNA", at positions 524 to 776 of the family's 1533-position model. The record is from RNAcentral.
UACAGAGGGUGCGAGCGUUAAUCGGAAUUACUGGGCGUAAAGCGUGCGUAGACGGUAGCGUAAGUCAGAUGUGAAAGCCCCGGGCUCAACCUGGGAAUUGCAUUUGAGACUGCUCUGCUCGGGUGCGGAAGAGGGAAGCGGGAAUUUCCGGUGUAGCGGUGAAAUGCGUAGAUAUCGGAAGGAACACCAGUGGCGAAAGCACUCUGCUGGGCCGACACUGACACUGAGAGACGAAAGCUAGGGGAGCGAAUGGG